GAUGAACGCUAGCUACAGGCUUAACACAUGCAAGUCGAGGGGCAGCAUGAACUUAGCUUGCUAAGUUUGAUGGCGACCGGCGCACGGGUGAGUAACACGUAUCCAACCUGCCGAUGACUCGGGGAUAGCCUUUCGAAAGAAAGAUUAAUACCCGAUGGCAUAGUUCUUCCGCAUGGUAGAACUAUUAAAGAAUUUCGGUCAUCGAUGGGGAUGCGUUCCAUUAGGUUGUUGGCGGGGUAACGGCCCACCAAGCCUUCGAUGGAUAGGGGUUCUGAGAGGAAGGUCCCCCACAUUGGAACUGAGACACGGUCCAAACUCCUACGGGAGGCAGCAGUGAGGAAUAUUGGUCAAUGGACGAGAGUCUGAACCAGCCAAGUAGCGUGAAGGAUGACUGCCCUAUGGGUUGUAAACUUCUUUUAUACGGGAAUAAAGUGAGGCACGUGUGCCUUUUUGUAUGUACCGUAUGAAUAAGGAUCGGCUAACUCCGUGCCAGCAGCCGCGGUAAUACGGAGGAUCUGAGCGUUAUCCGGAUUUAUUGGGUUUAAAGGGAGCGUAGGCGGACGCUUAAGUCAGUUGUGAAAGUUUGCGGCUCAACCGUAAAAUUGCAGUUGAUACUGGGUGUCUUGAGUACAGUAGAGGCAGGCGGAAUUCGUGGUGUAGCGGUGAAAUGCUUAGAUAUCACGAAGAACUCCGAUUGCGAAGGCAGCCUGCUGGACUGUAACUGACGCUGAUGCUCGAAAGUGUGGGUAUCAAACAGGAUU
RNAcentral lists this ribosomal RNA (761 nucleotides) under uncultured Bacteroidales bacterium. Its description in RNAcentral is "bacterial SSU rRNA". It matches the Rfam family "Bacterial small subunit ribosomal RNA", at positions 28 to 779 of the family's 1533-position model. The record is from RNAcentral. Lineage: Bacteria; Pseudomonadati; Bacteroidota; Bacteroidia; Bacteroidales.